GGUGGCUCAGUGGUAGAGCACUUGCCUUGCAUGCAUGAAGCCCUGGGUUCCAUGCCUCAGCACCA
This 65-nucleotide transfer RNA is filed under the name Dipodomys ordii (Ord's kangaroo rat). It matches the Rfam family "tRNA". Rfam says of the family: Transfer RNA (tRNA) molecules are approximately 80 nucleotides in length. The record is from Rfam by way of RNAcentral. Lineage: Eukaryota; Metazoa; Chordata; Mammalia; Rodentia; Heteromyidae.